UCCUACGGGAGGCAGCAGUUCGUACGGGAGGCAGCAGGGGGGAAUUUUGAUCAAUGGAUGAAAGCCUGACGGAGCAAUCCCGCGGGAGGGAAGAAGGCUUUAGGGUUGUAAACCUCUUUUAUCAGGGAAGAAUUCAAUGACGGUACCUGAGGAAUAAGCAUCGGCUAACUCCGUGCCAGCAGCAGCGGUAAUAAGGAGGAGGCAAGCGUUAUCCGGAAUGAUUGGUGGUAAAGCGUCCGCAGGUGGCAAUUUAAGUCUGUUGUCAAAAAUCAGGGGUUUCCCCUGAAAAGGCAGUGGAAAGUGAAAUGCUGGAGUGCGGUAGGGGCAGAGGGAAUUCCCCGUGGAGCGGUGAAAUGCGUAGAGAUCGGGAAGAACACCAGUGGGGAAAGCGCUCCCCCCUCCUCAACUGACACUCUUGGACGAAAAAUAGUGGAGAGCAAGCGAUUUUAGAUACCAGUAGAGUUCACGGUAAACGAUGGAUACUAGGCGUUGAGAGGAUCGACCCUCUCAGUGUCGCAGCUAACGCGUGAAGUAGACCGCCUGGGAGAACUUAAUGCCG
Molecule: ribosomal RNA, 559 nt
Filed under: uncultured cyanobacterium
Lineage: Bacteria; Bacillati; Cyanobacteriota
Also listed under: 1 other name
Description: bacterial SSU rRNA
Rfam family: Bacterial small subunit ribosomal RNA
Source: RNAcentral